UAGGAUAUAGAUAUUCAGGUCUGUCUGUAAAGGCCUAUACUUUAAGAAUGUAGGUUUAUGUUUAUCAUUUAGCUGGUUAUAGAGGUAUAAAAGAAAGAAUCAAAAUAACUGUCUGCUUGUGUAGCGGCCUUCUCUCACUGUAACAGUCUGAGGCCCUGUUCUUAAGCUGAUGCCUUUGGCUAAGCAGUGGGAGCAGCCAUAAGCUGGGAAACGUAUGGUCACAUCCUCACAUUCCAAACUACUCACAUUGAAAUGAGAU
Molecule: long non-coding RNA, 259 nt
Organism: Chelonia mydas (Green sea turtle)
Lineage: Eukaryota; Metazoa; Chordata; Testudines; Cheloniidae
Exons: 3
Source: RefSeq, a predicted model, not a curated record